This 253-nucleotide ribosomal RNA is filed under the name uncultured bacterium. RNAcentral's name for it is "partial 16S ribosomal RNA". It matches the Rfam family "Bacterial small subunit ribosomal RNA", at positions 524 to 776 of the family's 1533-position model. The record is from RNAcentral.
UACAGAGGGUGCAAGCGUUGUUCGGAAUUAUUGGGAGUACAGGGCGCGUAGGCGGUGCGGUAAGUCACCUGUGAAAUCUCCUGGCUCAACUGGGAGCUUGCAGGCGAAACUGCCGUGCUGGAGUGUGGGAGAGGUGCGUGGAAUUCCCGGUGUAGCGGUGAAAUGCGUAGAUAUCGAGAGGAACACCUGUGGCGAAAGCGGCGCACUGGACCACAACUGACGCUGAGGCGCGAAAGCUAGGGGAGCAAACAGG